GGAAUUCUUGUUUCAGUCGGAGAAGAGUUCAUGAAUUCAAUAUCAUGAUAAUAAGAUAAUGCUACAUCGUACCCAUGGUUCUGAGAAGCGGUGAAGCUAAUGUUCUGAAGGAGGGAAAGAAAUAUGUUGCUGUGUUCUCAAGACAAAUAUCAAAGAUGUUUCAGUCCUCAGUCUCAGAUAAAAGAAGAGCAGAGUGAGUGUGACCUUUCAGUAUCCAGUCUUCACGCUGACCCUCUGAAGAUUUAGGAUUACUGCCAUAUUGAAGAAAAUGAGGACAAAAACUUUUCAGUCUUUCCAGAAAAUUGCGUGGAAGGAGGAAAAGAAGCAAUAAGUGAACAUGACAAAUCAAUGAGUCAAGGUGGUCAUAGGAUGUUCCUGUUAUUUAAAUGUUAAGGCUGGUUUAUGUUUUUUGCAGGGCCUUAUUGUCUUAAAAUCAAUUUACCUUAAAAGUUUGCCUCUC
This 460-nucleotide long non-coding RNA is filed under the name Rhinopithecus bieti (black snub-nosed monkey). Its description in RNAcentral is "lncRNA (ENSRBIG00000045628.1)". Lineage: Eukaryota; Metazoa; Chordata; Mammalia; Primates; Cercopithecidae. The record is from RNAcentral.